RNAcentral lists this ribosomal RNA (312 nucleotides) under uncultured bacterium. RNAcentral's name for it is "partial 16S ribosomal RNA". It matches the Rfam family "Bacterial small subunit ribosomal RNA", at positions 355 to 684 of the family's 1533-position model. The record is from RNAcentral.
UGGGGAAUAUUGGACAAUGGGGGCAACCCUGAUCCAGCAAUGCCGCGUGUGUGAAGAAGGUUUUCGGAUUGUAAAGCACUUUCGACGGGGACGAUGAUGACGGUACCCGUAGAAGAAGCCCCGGCUAACUUCGUGCCAGCAGCCGCGGUAAUACGAAGGGGGCUAGCGUUGCUCGGAAUGACUGGGCGUAAAGGGCGUGUAGGCGGUUUGUACAGUCAGAUGUGAAAUCCCCGGGCUUAACCUGGGAGCUGCAUUUGAUACGUGCAGACUAGAGUGUGAGAGAGGGUUGUGGAAUUCCCAGUGUAGAGGUGA